UGAGGAAUAUUGCGCAAUGGGGGCAACCCUGACGCAGCGACGCCGCGUGAGUGAGGAAGGCCUUCGGGUCGUAAAGCUCUGUCAAAGGGAAAGAAGUGCAUGGUGGCUAAUACCUGCCAUGUUUGACGGUACCCUUAAAGGAAGCACCGGCUAACUCCGUGCCAGCAGCCGCGGUAAUACGGAGGGUGCAAGCGUUGUUCGGAAUCACUGGGCGUAAAGGGCGCGUAGGCGGUUUGAUAAGUCAGAUGUGAAAGCCCACGGCUUAACUGUGGAAGUGCAUUUGAAACUGUCAGACUUGAGUAUCAGAGGGGAAAGUGGAAUUCCCGGUGUAGAGGUGAAAUUCGUAGAUAUCGGGAGGAAUACCGGUGGCGAAGGCGACCUCCUGGACCAUUCCUGACACUCAGACGCGAAAGCUAGGGUAGCAAACG
This 428-nucleotide ribosomal RNA is filed under the name uncultured prokaryote. RNAcentral describes it as "bacterial SSU rRNA". It matches the Rfam family "Bacterial small subunit ribosomal RNA", at positions 355 to 774 of the family's 1533-position model. The record is from RNAcentral.